RNAcentral lists this ribosomal RNA (253 nucleotides) under uncultured bacterium. RNAcentral's name for it is "partial 16S ribosomal RNA". It matches the Rfam family "Bacterial small subunit ribosomal RNA", at positions 524 to 776 of the family's 1533-position model. The record is from RNAcentral.
UACAGAGGGUGCGAGCGUUAAUCGGAUUUACUGGGCGUAAAGGGUGCGUAGGUGGUAAAGCAAGUAAGAUGUGAAAGCCCUGGGCUUAACCUAGGAAGUGCAUCUUAAACUGCUUAACUAGAGUAUGGUAGAGGGUAGUGGAAUUUCCGGUGUAGCGGUGAAAUGCGUAGAUAUCGGAAGGAACGCCAGUGGUGAAGACGACUACCUGGACCAAUACUGACACUGAGGCACGAAAGCGUGGGGAUCAAACAGG